AUUGAACGCUGGCGGCAGGCCUAACACAUGCAAGUCGAGCGGAUGAAGGGAGCUUGCUCCUGGAUUCAGCGGCGGACGGGUGAGUAAUGCCUAGGAAUCUGCCUGGUAGUGGGGGAUAACGUCCGGAAACGGGCGCUAAUACCGCAUACGUCCUGAGGUAGAAAGUGGGGGAUCUUCGGACCUCACGCGAUCAGAUGAGCCUAGGUCGGAUUAGCUAGUUGGUGGGGUAAAGGCCUACCAAGGCGACGAUCCGUAACUGGUCUGAGAGGAUGAUCAGUCACACUGGAACUGAGACACGGUCCAGACUCCUACGGGAGGCAGCAGUGGGGAAUAUUGGACAAAGGGCGAAAGCCUGAUCCAGCCAUGCCGCGUGUGUGAAGAAGGUCUUCGGAUUGUAAAGCACUUUAAGUUGGGAGGAAGGGCAGUAAGUUAAUACCUUGCUGUUUUGACGUUACCAACAGAAUAAGCACCGGCUAACUUCGUG
RNAcentral lists this ribosomal RNA (484 nucleotides) under uncultured bacterium. RNAcentral describes it as "partial 16S ribosomal RNA". It matches the Rfam family "Bacterial small subunit ribosomal RNA", at positions 30 to 507 of the family's 1533-position model. The record is from RNAcentral.